CCUACGGGAGGCAGCAGUGAGGAAUAUUGGUCAAUGGACGCAAGUCUGAACCAGCCAAGUAGCGUGCAGGAUGACGGCCCUAUGGGUUGUAAACUGCUUUUAUACGGGGAUAAACUGCCUCACGUGUGGCCUAUUGCAGGUACCGUAUGAAUAAGGACCGGCUAAUUCCGUGCCAGCAGCCGCGGUAAUACGGAAGGUCCGGGCGUUAUCCGGAUUUAUUGGGUUUAAAGGGGGCGUAGGCGGAAUGGAAAGGGGGCGGUAAAAUCUUGGGGCUCAACCCCGUUCUGCCGUGGAAACUGGCGGUCUUGAGUGGGCGAGAAGUAGGCGGAAUGCGUGGUGUAGCGGUGAAAUGCAUAGAUAUGACGAAGAACGCCGAUUGCGAAGGCAGCUUGCCGGAGCGCAACUGACGCUGAGGCACGAAAGCGUGGGUAUCGAACAGGAUUAGAUACCCGGGUAGUC
RNAcentral lists this ribosomal RNA (459 nucleotides) under uncultured bacterium. Its description in RNAcentral is "partial 16S ribosomal RNA". It matches the Rfam family "Bacterial small subunit ribosomal RNA", at positions 338 to 795 of the family's 1533-position model. The record is from RNAcentral.